Molecule: ribosomal RNA, 618 nt
Filed under: uncultured bacterium
Lineage: Bacteria
Description: bacterial SSU rRNA
Rfam family: Bacterial small subunit ribosomal RNA
Source: RNAcentral
UACUGGAAACGGUAGCUAAUACCGCAUAACGUCGCAAGACCAAAGAGGGGGACCUUCGGGCCUCUUGCCAUCAGAUGUGCCCAGAUGGGAUUAGCUAGUAGGUGGGGUAACGGCUCACCUAGGCGACGAUCCCUAGCUGGUCUGAGAGGAUGACCAGCCACACUGGAACUGAGACACGGUCCAGACUCCUACGGGAGGCAGCAGUGGGGAAUAUUGCACAAUGGGCGCAAGCCUGAUGCAGCCAUGCCGCGUGUAUGAAGAAGGCCUUCGGGUUGUAAAGUACUUUCAGCGAGGAGGAAGGUGUUGAGGUUAAUAACCUCAGCAAUUGACGUUACUCGCAGAAGAAGCACCGGCUAACUCCGUGCCAGCAGCCGCGGUAAUACGGAGGGUGCAAGCGUUAAUCGGAAUUACUGGGCGUAAAGCGCACGCAGGCGGUCUGUCAAGUCGGAUGUGAAAUCCCCGGGCUCAACCUGGGAACUGCAUUCGAAACUGGCAGGCUAGAGUCUUGUAGAGGGGGGUAGAAUUCCAGGUGUAGCGGUGAAAUGCGUAGAGAUCUGGAGGAAUACCGGUGGCGAAGGCGGCCCCCUGGACAAAGACUGACGCUCAGGUGCGAAAGCG